GAUGAACGCUGGCGGCGUGCCUAAUACAUGCAAGUCGAGCGAACAGACGAGGAGCUUGCUCCUCUGACGUUAGCGGCGGACGGGUGAGUAACGCGUGGAUAACCUACCUAUAAGACUGGGAUAACUUCGGGAAACCGGAGCUAAUACCGGAUAAUAUAUUGAACCGCAUGGUUCAAUAGUGAAAGACGGUUUUGCUGUCACUUAUAGAUGGAUCCGCGCCGCAUUAGCUAGUUGGUAAGGUAACGGCUUACCAAGGCAACGAUGCGUAGCCGACCUGAGAGGGUGAUCGGCCACACUGGAACUGAGACACGGUCCAGACUCCUACGGGAGGCAGCAGUAGGGAAUCUUCCGCAAAGGGCGAAAGCCUGACGGAGCAACGCCGCGUGAGUGAUGAAGGUCUUCGGAUCGUAAAACUCUGUUAUUAGGGAAGAACAAAUGUGUAAGUAACUAUGCACGUCUUGACGGUACCUAAUCAGAAAGCCACGGCUAACUACGUG
RNAcentral lists this ribosomal RNA (497 nucleotides) under uncultured bacterium. RNAcentral describes it as "partial 16S ribosomal RNA". It matches the Rfam family "Bacterial small subunit ribosomal RNA", at positions 28 to 507 of the family's 1533-position model. The record is from RNAcentral.